UGGGGAAUUUUGGACAAUGGGGGCAACCCUGAUCCAGCAAUGCCGCGUGCAGGAUGAAGGCCUUCGGGUUGUAAACUGCUUUUGUACGGAGCGAAAAGGUCUGCCCUAAUACGGUGGGCUCAUGACGGUACCGUAAGAAUAAGCACCGGCUAACUACGUGCCAGCAGCCGCGGUAAUACGUAGGGUGCGAGCGUUAAUCGGAAUUACUGGGCGUAAAGCGUGCGCAGGCGGUUUAGUAAGACAGGCGUGAAAUCCCCGGGCUCAACCUGGGAACUGCGCUUGUGACUGCUAAGCUAGAGUACGGUAGAGGGGGAUGGAAUUCCGCGUGUAGCAGUGAAAUGCGUAGAUAUGCGGAGGAACACCGAUGGCGAAGGCAAUCCCCUGGACCUGUACUGACGCUCAUGCACGAAAGCGUGGGGAGCAAACA
RNAcentral lists this ribosomal RNA (427 nucleotides) under uncultured bacterium. RNAcentral's name for it is "bacterial SSU rRNA". It matches the Rfam family "Bacterial small subunit ribosomal RNA", at positions 355 to 774 of the family's 1533-position model. The record is from RNAcentral.